UUUAUCUCCUUUGCAAGAAGUGGGAGCAUGGUUCGAGGUUCAAAGCAAGCGAAGGAGGUUGGGGUUUGAGAAGUGAGGAGGGGUACGGUGGGGUUGCUGCGAAUGGGGAUGAGUUUUCUAGCAUUGAAAAUCAAUGUUUGGGUGAUGAAAGGGCUGUUAACCGUGAGGAAGGAAAAUAUGAAUAGUAAAUAUGAUAAAUCAUACUAAAACCAUUAAUAUUGGGUUGGAAUUUAUGAAUGAGAAGAGAAGAAGAUUAGAACUAUAGGGGAGUAUCUGUUUGUGUUUGUGAAAAAUCAUGGUGAAAAAGACAAAGUGAUUGGUGCCUAUGGAGAAUAAUAGAGGAGAAAUGGAAAAUGGAAGAUGAAGAUUGGUUGUGUCUGAUGUUGGAGGGGAGUUGGAACGAUGAUGGUGAAGAGGAAUUUUUGGAAAAAAAAAUGGAGAUGGAAAUCUAAUAGAAUCUUUCUAGUUUUACCAGAUUUUAUUGUUGCAAUUCUUUUUAGAGAUGAAAUAAUUACUUUCUUUUUUUAGUUUUUGGAGAAUAGAAAAGAAGAGAGAGAAACAUAAAGGGAAGAUGAUUUCUAUUUGUGUUGAAUGAGAGAGAAGAGAGAGAAACAUACGAGGACAGAUAAGAAAAUAAAAAGUCAAAUAAUUUAAACUUUCAAGUAAUUUUAAAAUAAUCUAAAUUCACGUCAUUCAGCCACGUC
RNAcentral lists this long non-coding RNA (704 nucleotides) under Vigna radiata. RNAcentral's name for it is "long non-coding RNA (VRAD_LNC016272)". Lineage: Eukaryota; Viridiplantae; Streptophyta; Magnoliopsida; Fabales; Fabaceae. The record is from RNAcentral.